GCGGCAUGGGUCCGAUGGUAAGAUUCUAUCUUAGGGUUAGUAGAAGUUGAGGCAAGCGCCUCCUUUUAAUAAGCCUGAUAGCGAACCGGGUUCGAUUCCCGGGUGCCGCC
This is a non-coding RNA of Wallemia ichthyophaga EXF-994, 110 nucleotides long. The record is from the annotation of a RefSeq genome assembly. Lineage: Eukaryota; Fungi; Basidiomycota; Wallemiomycetes; Wallemiales; Wallemiaceae.